Long non-coding RNA from Brassica napus (rape), 626 nucleotides. RefSeq lists it as uncharacterized. NCBI's taxonomy places the organism in Eukaryota, Viridiplantae, Streptophyta, Magnoliopsida, Brassicales, Brassicaceae. The record is from RefSeq and is a predicted model, not a curated record. The transcript has 2 exons.
AUACCAUUCUACGAAAAUUCACCAAAAAUGUCGGCAAUUACUACUUUUCAUCCUCUCACAAAACUCAGCCUUUCAAGAAUAACUGGUGAGUUCAAGUUAAGUGCUUACAUUCCUGGAGGCAGAAUACCCUUUUUGGAGAUACCUUUGAGAUGGUUUUAGCAGACCAAUGGUUCUAUUUUGGUAGGGAAAAAAAUCCAGGCCUGUUGCAAAAGGACACACAUGUACCAUGUUCAAAUCAGUAGAUCUGUAGAUUAGGAGAAACCUUCGCUUGCCAUGAUCUUCACAGUAAUCAGUAGAUCUAUCUUCUGUAAUACUUUUAGUGAAAAAACUAGAGGCGUUUAAGAAUAUAUCGCCAGAACAACAUACAUGGCCGACGAUUAGAUCGGUGGAAGAUACGGAUGUGAAAGGGAAAGUAAAAAGACACCAAAAGCCAGUCGUUUUCUAUUUUUUUUCCGGGAAAAAAUAUUAUAUGGGCAUUGAUUUGUGUUUCAGGUCUACUAAUAUUUGGGUUACAAAUGAUACUCAUUUUAAUAUCAUAACCAAAAGGACCCAAUCAAUUUAUAUAAUUAGGCUUUGUUAAUAUAAUUGCUAUAUAUAUAUUUUUAAUAUAUUUUGGAGUUACUUUU